RNAcentral lists this ribosomal RNA (486 nucleotides) under uncultured bacterium. RNAcentral's name for it is "bacterial SSU rRNA". It matches the Rfam family "Bacterial small subunit ribosomal RNA", at positions 30 to 504 of the family's 1533-position model. The record is from RNAcentral.
UGAACGCUGGCGGCAUGCCUAACACAUGCAAGUCGAACGGAAACGAUGGAGAGCUUGCUCUUCAGGCGUCGAGUGGCGGACGGGUGAGUAAUGCUUAGGAAUCUGCCCAUGUAGUGGGGGACAACCUGGUGAAAACCAGGCUAAUACCGCAUGAGCCCUUCGGGGGAAAGCAGGGGAUCUUCGGACCUUGCGCUAUUGGAUGAGCCUAAGUCGGAUUAGCUUGUUGGUGGGGUAACGGCCUACCAAGGCGACGAUCCGUAGCUGGUCUGAGAGGAUGAUCAGCCACACUGGGACUGAGACACGGCCCAGACUCCUACGGGAGGCAGCAGUGGGGAAUAUUGGACAAUGGGCGAAAGCCUGAUCCAGCAAUGCCGCGUGUGUGAAGAAGGCCUGCGGGUUGUAAAGCACUUUCAGUAGCGAGGAAAAGCUUAAGGUUAAUAACCUUGAGUCUUGACGUUAACUACAGAAGAAGCACCGGCUAACUCU